ACACAUGCAGUCGAACGGCAGCACAGUAAGAGCUUGCUCUUAUGGGUGGCGAGUGGCGGACGGGUGAGGAAUACAUCGGAAUCUACCUUUUCGUGGGGGAUAACGUAGGGAAACUUACGCUAAUACCGCAUACGACCUUCGGGUGAAAGCAGGGGACCUUCGGGCCUUGCGCGGAUAGAUGAGCCGAUGUCGGAUUAGCUAGUUGGCGGGGUAAAGGCCCACCAAGGCGACGAUCCGUAGCUGGUCUGAGAGGAUGAUCAGCCACACUGGAACUGAGACACGGUCCAGACUCCUACGGGAGGCAGCAGUGGGGAAUAUUGGACAAUGGGCGCA
This 333-nucleotide ribosomal RNA is filed under the name bacterium xpnta356lb726offp11.20. RNAcentral's name for it is "bacterial SSU rRNA". It matches the Rfam family "Bacterial small subunit ribosomal RNA", at positions 51 to 379 of the family's 1533-position model. The record is from RNAcentral.